GCCCACGUAGCUCAGUUGGUAGAGCAACUCCAUGGUAAGGAGUAGGUCAGCGGUCCAAAUCCGCUCGUGGGCUCCA
RNAcentral lists this transfer RNA (76 nucleotides) under Candidatus Berkelbacteria bacterium RIFCSPHIGHO2_12_FULL_36_9. RNAcentral describes it as "tRNA-Thr". It matches the Rfam family "tRNA". From Rfam's summary of the family: Transfer RNA (tRNA) molecules are approximately 80 nucleotides in length. Their secondary structure includes four short double-helical elements and three loops (D, anti-codon, and T loops). Lineage: Bacteria; Candidatus Berkelbacteria. The record is from RNAcentral.